RNAcentral lists this unclassified non-coding RNA (220 nucleotides) under soil metagenome. RNAcentral describes it as "partial contains 5.8S ribosomal RNA, internal transcribed spacer 2, and large subunit ribosomal RNA". The record is from RNAcentral.
AACACUGUUAACCUGCGGUACCUGCGGAGGGAUCAUCAUUGAACCUCUAAAUAUCAAAACACGCUCUGUGCACUUGUUGUUGGGGGGGAGAGAUUUGGUGGCUGCCGCCGCCAAGUUUAGCCCCCCCACAUUUUUAACAACAUAAACCCCCUUUUUUACCUCUUUAUCCAUACUUAAAACACAAAAACAUAACCAAAAGACAACUUUCAACAAUGGAUCU